Tachysurus fulvidraco (yellow catfish) is the source of this 879-nucleotide long non-coding RNA. RefSeq lists it as uncharacterized. The transcript has 2 exons. Lineage: Eukaryota; Metazoa; Chordata; Actinopteri; Siluriformes; Bagridae. The record is from RefSeq and is a predicted model, not a curated record.
CGAAAAAUCGGCAGCUGGCAGCAGGAAGUAGCUGCCAUUGGCAGCAGGAAGUCCUGCCAUAUUAGGAGGGACAUACUAUUUCGUGGCAGCCAAUCAGUAUCGUCCAACGUAGUAGCAACCAAUCACAUUUAACUGGAAGGCAAGCGACAGCAGCACCGGCUAAUCUUCAGUAAUGGCGGCGAGUUCAUCGAGGAGCCAGGCUUCACACAGUGUUGCCGAAGCAUUAUUGGCUGCAAAACGUGUGGAACAGUGGCAGGAUACCUCUGUGUGCUGUGCAAAAUGUAGAGGGAACACCACAGGCAACAAGAUAUUUGAAAUUAAUGGUUUGUCAGAAGCAUUUUCUGUUCUGAGAUCUCUUUUUGAAGAGGAGAAGCAUUUUGCGCUUUUAUACUCACAAAUAGGCAUGUUGACUUUCAUUUGACUUUGUUUUAUUGAUUCAAAAAUUGAGUUGUAAUGUUAAUUUAUUUACAUGUUUAGUCUGGUUGAUGUAAUUGGUGUUCAUCGUUCUUGUUACAAAUUUACAUUCUGUUCAAAUAGAGCGAUCUGCUUUUCACACAUUGCGCUGAAUUGUGGUUAUAAGACCGAGAAAUGCCUGUUUGUACGGAGUCAAGUCAUUGUUCACUGCUCUAGAGAACAAGUCUGAAAUGUCUGAAUAUUGCUCAGCAAACUGAUUCUCAACUCUAAGUUUGUCCUGAUCAGUUGAAAAUGGAUCAACUCCAAAUGUGUGGUCAGUGAGGAUCCCAGCUGUUGGCUGUUAAUUCAACUGAAUGAGGCAGCAGCUCCUGUGGGAUUUUUUUUUGGGACAUCCACAGCCAGCCAAGUCAUUUGGUACACCUUUACCUGUAAAAUAAAAACAGACUGUUGGUCUUAACUUAUGAA